GCGCCCGUAGCUCAACUGGAUAGAGCGUCUGACUACGAAUCAGGAGGUUGGGAGUUCGAGUCUUCCCGGGCGCGCCA
RNAcentral lists this transfer RNA (77 nucleotides) under Rhodospirillaceae bacterium. Its description in RNAcentral is "tRNA-Arg". It matches the Rfam family "tRNA". From Rfam's summary of the family: Transfer RNA (tRNA) molecules are approximately 80 nucleotides in length. RNAcentral also lists the same sequence under 1 other name. The record is from RNAcentral. Lineage: Bacteria; Pseudomonadati; Pseudomonadota; Alphaproteobacteria; Rhodospirillales; Rhodospirillaceae.